RNAcentral lists this ribosomal RNA (501 nucleotides) under uncultured bacterium. Its description in RNAcentral is "partial 16S ribosomal RNA". It matches the Rfam family "Bacterial small subunit ribosomal RNA", at positions 30 to 523 of the family's 1533-position model. The record is from RNAcentral.
AUUGAACGCUGGCGGCAUGCCUUACACAUGCAAGUCGAACGGCAGCACGGGUGCUUGCACCUGGUGGCGAGUGGCGAACGGGUGAGUAAUAUAUCGGAACGUACCUUAUUGUGGGGGAUAACGCAGCGAAAGCUGUGCUAAUACCGCAUAAUCCCUAAGGGGGAAAGCGGGGGACCGUAAGGCCUCGCGCAAUUAGAGCGGCCGAUACCUGAUUAGCUAGUUGGUGAGGUAAAGGCUCACCAAGGCAACGAUCAGUAGCUGGUCUGAGAGGACGAUCAGCCACACUGGGACUGAGACACGGCCCAGACUCGUGCGGGAGGCAGCAGUGGGGAAUUUUGGACAAUGGGGGCAACCCUGAUCCAGCAAUGCCGCGUGAGUGAAGAAGGCGUUCGGGUUGUAAAGCUCUUUUGUCAGGGAAGAAACAGCAGCUCUAACACAGUUUGCGAAUGACGGUACCUGAAGAAUAAGCACCGGCUAACUACGUGCCAGCCGCCGCGGUAA